This 261-nucleotide ribosomal RNA is filed under the name uncultured bacterium. RNAcentral's name for it is "partial 16S ribosomal RNA". It matches the Rfam family "Bacterial small subunit ribosomal RNA", at positions 95 to 354 of the family's 1533-position model. The record is from RNAcentral.
CCGGCGCACGGGUGAGUAACACGUAUGAAACCUGCCUGCCACAGCCGGAUAAUCGGGAGAAAUUCCGUCUAAUACGGCAUAAUGCAUCGACGGGACAUCCUGUUGGUGCCAAAGGUUAAUUCCGGUGGCGGAUGGGCAUGCGUCGCAUUAGUUAGUUGGCGGUGUAACGGACCACCAAGACGACGAUGCGUAGGGGUUCUGAGAGGAAGGUCCCCCACACUGGUACUGAGACACGGACCAGACUCCUACGGAAGGCAGCAG